Molecule: ribosomal RNA, 478 nt
Filed under: uncultured organism
Description: partial 16S ribosomal RNA
Rfam family: Bacterial small subunit ribosomal RNA
Source: RNAcentral
CGUACACUCCUACGGGAGGCAGCAGUGGGGAAUUUUGGACAAUGGGCGAAAGCCUGAUCCAGCCAUGCCGCGUGCAGGAUGAAGGCCUUCGGGUUGUAAACUGCUUUUGUACGGAACGAAACGGCCUUUUCUAAUAAAGAGGGCUAAUGACGGUACCGUAAGAAUAAGCACCGGCUAACUACGUGCCAGCAGCCGCGGUAAUACGUAGGGUGCAAGCGUUAAUCGGAAUUACUGGGCGUAAAGCGUGCGCAGGCGGUUAUGUAAGACAGUUGUGAAAUCCCCGGGCUCAACCUGGGAACUGCAUCUGUGACUGCAUAGCUAGAGUACGGUAGAGGGGGAUGGAAUUCCGCGUGUAGCAGUGAAAUGCGUAGAUAUGCGGAGGAACACCGAUGGCGAAGGCAAUCCCCUGGACCUGUACUGACGCUCAUGCACGAAAGCGUGGGGAGCAAACAGGAUUAGAUACCCGUGUAGUCCCAUG